CAAUAGCGUAUAUUUAAGUUGUUGCAGUUAGAAAGCUCGUAGUUGGAUUUCGGUUGAGAGCGACCGGUCCGCCGUUUGGUGUGCACUGGUUGGUUUUAACUUCCUGUAGAGGACGUGCUCUGGGUUUAACGACCUGGACUCGGAGUCUACGUGGUUACUUUGAAAAAAUUAGAGUGUUCAAAGCGGGCUUACGCUUGAAUAUUUCAGCAUGGAAUAACACUAUAGGACUCCUGUCCUAUUUCGUUGGUCUCGGGACGGGAGUAAUGAUUAAGAGGAACAGUUGGGGGCAUUCGUAUUUCAUUGUCAGAGGUGAAAUUCUUGGAUUUAUGAAAGACGAACUUCUGCGAAAGCAUUUGCCAAGGAUGUUUUCAUUAA
This 375-nucleotide ribosomal RNA is filed under the name uncultured eukaryote. RNAcentral's name for it is "partial 18S ribosomal RNA". It matches the Rfam family "Eukaryotic small subunit ribosomal RNA", at positions 592 to 976 of the family's 1831-position model. The record is from RNAcentral.